This 372-nucleotide ribosomal RNA is filed under the name Staphylococcus aureus. Its description in RNAcentral is "bacterial SSU rRNA". It matches the Rfam family "Bacterial small subunit ribosomal RNA", at positions 220 to 584 of the family's 1533-position model. Lineage: Bacteria; Bacillati; Bacillota; Bacilli; Caryophanales; Staphylococcaceae. The record is from RNAcentral.
UAUAGAUGGAUCCGCGCUGCAUUAGCUAGUUGGUAAGGUAACGGCUUACCAAGGCAACGAUGCAUAGCCGACCUGAGAGGGUGAUCGGCCACACUGGAACUGAGACACGGUCCAGACUCCUACGGGAGGCAGCAGUAGGGAAUCUUCCGCAAUGGGCGAAAGCCUGACGGAGCAACGCCGCGUGAGUGAUGAAGGUCUUCGGAUCGUAAAACUCUGUUAUUAGGGAAGAACAUAUGUGUAAGUAACUGUGCACAUCUUGACGGUACCUAAUCAGAAAGCCACGGCUAACUACGUGCCAGCAGCCGCGGUAAUACGUAGGUGGCAAGCGUUAUCCGGAAUUAUUGGGCGUAAAGCGCGCGUAGGCGGUUUUUU